RNAcentral lists this ribosomal RNA (328 nucleotides) under uncultured eukaryote. Its description in RNAcentral is "partial 18S ribosomal RNA". It matches the Rfam family "Eukaryotic small subunit ribosomal RNA", at positions 1470 to 1796 of the family's 1831-position model. The record is from RNAcentral.
CCCUUAGAUGUUCGGGGCCGCACGCGCGCUACACUGAAUGAAUCAGCGAGUGUAUGUCCUAGGCCGAAAGGUCCGGGUAACCCGUUGAACCUCAUUCGUGAUUGGGAUAGGGACUUGCAAUUGUUUCCCUUGAACGAGGAAUUCCCAGUAAGCGCAAGUCAUCAGCUUGCGUUGAUUACGUCCCUGCCCUUUGUACACACCGCCCGUCGCUACUACCGAUUGGGUGUGCUGGUGAAAUGUUCGGAUCGGCCGUUUGUCGCGGUUUCCGCGGCUCGUGGCUGAGAAGUUCAUUAAACCCUCCCACCUAGAGGAAGGAGAAGUCGUAACA